CCUUAUGGUCUCUCUGGCCCGAACCUCCCAACCCUUUGUCUACUUGGACCAUCGUUGUCUUCGGCGAGCCCGUCCUCACGGACCGCCGGAGGGAUCUUUACUGGCCCUCUGGUCCGCGCUCGUCGGUAGCCCAACCUUUAAAAUCUUUAACUAAACGUGCCUUAAUCUAAGUACAAUUAUUAAAUAAAAGCAAAACUUUCAACAACGGAUCUCUUGGCUCUGGCAACGAUGAAGAACGCAGCGAAACGCGAAAGGUAAUGCGAAUUGCAGAAUCAGUGAGUCAUCGAAUUUUUGAACGCACAUUGCGCCUCUCGGUAUUCCGGGAGGCACGCCUGUUCGAGCGCCAUUAACACCCUCCAAGCUGCGGCUUGAUGUUGGGCGAGGGUCUUCCCGUUCCCGUGGGGAGGGGAGGACGCGCCUGGAACGCGUGGGCAGCGGAAAAGCCAGACCGCGAGCGUAGCGAGAACACGAAAGAGUUCAAGUCGCUCCGGGACGGACCCUGGUGGACGUGUGGCCCGAAAGCAGAGUCACCUUUUCGAGGAAG
Molecule: ribosomal RNA, 544 nt
Filed under: uncultured fungus
Lineage: Eukaryota; Fungi
Description: eukaryotic LSU rRNA
Rfam family: 5.8S ribosomal RNA (bases 194-346)
Source: RNAcentral